ACGAAGGGUGCUAGCGUUGUUCGGAAUUAUUGGGCGUAAAGCGUGCGUAGGCGGCAUGGUAAGUCAGCUGUGAAAGCCCAGGGCUCAACCCUGGAAUUGCAGUUGAAACUGCCAAGCUAGAGUAUGGCGGGGGAUAGUGGAAUUCUUAGUGUAGGGGUGAAAUCCGUAGAUAUUAAGAGGAACACCAGUGGCGAAGGCGACUAUCUACACCAUUACUGACGCUGAGGUACGAAAGCGUGGGGAGCAAACAGG
This 252-nucleotide ribosomal RNA is filed under the name uncultured bacterium. RNAcentral describes it as "partial 16S ribosomal RNA". It matches the Rfam family "Bacterial small subunit ribosomal RNA", at positions 525 to 776 of the family's 1533-position model. The record is from RNAcentral.